This 195-nucleotide small RNA is filed under the name Arabidopsis thaliana (thale cress). Its description in RNAcentral is "ATSL278000". Lineage: Eukaryota; Viridiplantae; Streptophyta; Magnoliopsida; Brassicales; Brassicaceae. The record is from RNAcentral.
UCAUUUUCCAAAUUACGAUGAUGUUAUUGGUUCGUGAUUUUGAAAGAGUUUUUAGUGAAUUUUAAAAAGUAUUAGACGGUACAUGUGCUACGCACAAUAUUCAUGCUUUAAUUAGUUUAUCAGUUUCACUUCUUUAUAUAUAUUACGAAUUUCAGGUAUUUUAUUUGUCUAUAAAUGUUUAUUUGUAUAAUUUAU